This 253-nucleotide ribosomal RNA is filed under the name uncultured bacterium. RNAcentral describes it as "partial 16S ribosomal RNA". It matches the Rfam family "Bacterial small subunit ribosomal RNA", at positions 524 to 776 of the family's 1533-position model. The record is from RNAcentral.
UACAGAGGGUGCAAGCGUUGUUCGGAAUUACUGGGCGUAAAGCGCGUGUAGGCGGCUCUUUAAGUCGGAUGUGAAAUCCCUCGGCUCAACCGAGGAACUGCAUCCGAUACUGGGGAGCUUGAGUGUCGGAGGGGAUGGUAGAAUUCCUGGUGUAGAGGUGAAAUUCGUAGAUAUCAGGAGGAAUACCUGUGGCGAAGGCGACCAUCUGGAAGACAACUGACGCUGAGACGCGAAAGCGUGGGUAGCAAACAGG